Molecule: ribosomal RNA, 492 nt
Filed under: uncultured bacterium
Lineage: Bacteria
Description: partial 16S ribosomal RNA
Rfam family: Bacterial small subunit ribosomal RNA
Source: RNAcentral
AGUGAACGCUGGCGGUAGGCCUAACACAUGCCAGUCGAACGGCAGCACAGUAAUAGCUUGCUCUUACGGGUGGCGAGUGGCGGACGGGUGAGGAAUACAUCGGAAUCUACUUUUUCGUGGGGGAUAACGUAGGGAAACUUACGCUAAUACCGCAUACGACCUACGGGUGAAAGCAGGGGAUCUUCUGACCUUGCGCGAUUGAAUGAGCCGAUGUCGGAUUAGAUAGUUGGCGGGGUAAAGGCCCACCAAGGCGACGAUCCGUAGCUGGUCUGAGAGGAUGAUCAGCAAAACGGGAACUGAGAAACGGGACAGACUCCUACGGGAGGAAGCAGUGGGGAAUAUUGGACAAUGGGCGAAAGCAUGAUCCAGCAAUACCGCGUGGGUGAAGAAGGCCUUCGGGUUGUAAAGCCCUUUUGUUGGGAAAGAAAAGCAGCAGGUUAAUACCCCGCUGUUCUGACGGUACCCAAAGAAUAAGCACCGGCUAACUUCGUG